UACGGAGGGUGCAAGCGUUAAUCGAAAUUACUGGGCGUAAAGGGUGUGUAGGUGGCAAUGUAAGUUACUUGUGAAAGUCCCGGGCUUAACCUGGGUUGGACGGGUGAUACUGCAUAGCUUGAGUAUAGGAGAGGGUAGGGGAAUUCCAGGUGUAGCGGUGAAAUGCGUAGAUAUCUGGAGGAACACCGGUGGCGAAGGCGCCUACCUGGCCUAAUACUGACACUGAGGCACGAAAGCGUGGGGAGCAAACAGG
RNAcentral lists this ribosomal RNA (253 nucleotides) under uncultured bacterium. RNAcentral's name for it is "partial 16S ribosomal RNA". It matches the Rfam family "Bacterial small subunit ribosomal RNA", at positions 524 to 776 of the family's 1533-position model. The record is from RNAcentral.